GAUACCGUAGUCCAUGCCGUAACGAUGGCACUAGGUGUCGGAGAGCUACCCUUCGGUGCCGCAAGCUAACGCAUUAAGUGCCCACCUGGGAGUACGAUCGCAAGGUGAAACUCAAGGAAUUGACGGGGGCCCGCACAAGCGGUGGAGCAUGUGGUUUAAUUCGAUGCAACGCGAAGAACCUUACCUGGACUUGACAUGUAGGAGACAGCCGUAGAAAUACGGUUUCCUUCGGGUUCCUACACAGGUGCUGCAUGGCUGUCGUCAGCUCGUGUCGUGAAAUGUUGGGUUAAGUCCCGCAACGAGCGCAACCCUUGUCCUUAGUUGCCAUCAGGUAAUGCUGGGAACUCUAAGGAGACUGCCGGUGACAAACCGGAGGAAGGUGGGGACGACGUCAAGUCAUCAUGGCCCUUACGUCCAGGCUACACACGUGCUACAAUGGCCGGUACAAAGAGCAGCGAGGCAGCGAUGCCGAGCGAAUCUCAAAAAGCCGGUCUCAGUUCGGAUUGUAGUCUGCAACU
Molecule: ribosomal RNA, 518 nt
Filed under: uncultured bacterium
Lineage: Bacteria
Description: bacterial SSU rRNA
Rfam family: Bacterial small subunit ribosomal RNA
Source: RNAcentral